Molecule: long non-coding RNA, 1548 nt
Filed under: Homo sapiens (human)
Lineage: Eukaryota; Metazoa; Chordata; Mammalia; Primates; Hominidae
Description: non-protein coding lnc-ZC3H12B-8:1
Source: RNAcentral
CUGCUGGAGGCUACAGGAAAUGUUCCUAUAAAGACUGAAAAGUCAUUUCAGAUCAAUUUGGGAAACAUCUACAUGGCAAAAGAGGUUGCUAAUGCUCUUAGAACAAGCUUGCAACCAAAAGGAAAGGAUAAAAAAGUAAAAAUAGAAAAGGUGAUAUGACCAUUACAUAUGAUGCUGUUACCAUUGUGAAACAAAUGUAAGGGUUACAUCCAGCAGCCAGAAUCCUAGCGGUGCUGUCUAAGGCUCCAAGAUAUAGAAGCCGGAGAUGACCACAUCAGUGGUCAUUAUUGCUGGAUCUCUCUUAUAUUCUUAUAAUAAGCUUCUUCAGAAAAGAAUUCAUCUAGCCAUCAUCUCUGAGUCAUUCUAGAAGGCUUUGGGAAAUGGUAUUAAAAUUAUAACUGACAUGUCUUAACAUAUGGAAGUAAAUGACAAAGAAACAUUUUAAAAUAGUACAACCAAUUUAUUGAACUCAAUGCUUAUUAUUCAGCAUUCCAGUUUAAUUUCUCCAAUGAGUGUAAAUACAGUGAUUUGAUAUGGAUCUAGCCACAGCUACCACUGUGGAUCUUAGGGAUAUUAAAAUAGUUAAGUAACUUGGCAGGACAAUUGAUUGCAGUGAGUUAGUGAAAGGGAUUAUCACCCAAAAGGUGGAAAAUUCUGGGAUAGCCAGAGUUGAAAAGGCUAAAAUUGGGCUUAUUCAGUUUUGCUUCUCUGCUCCCAGAAGAGAUGGAUAAUCAAAUAGUUUCAGACUUACCCACGUGGAACAAGUGCUGUGAAAAGAAAGACUAAUACUAAAUUUAGUAAAAAAAAAAAAAAACUGGAGAUAACAUCCUGCUCACACAGAAGUCUCUUCUAAUUGGUGCUCUUAGUGAUCUUGAAUUACACUUUCUAAACAAAAUGAAGAUUAUGGUGAUUAAGGAUAUUGAAAAAGAAGGCAUUGAAUUUAUUUGUAAAACAAUUGGAAACAAGCCAGUUGCUUAUAUUGACUAAUUCACUACUAACAUGCUGGGAGCUGCUCCUUUAGCCAAAGGGGUCAAUUUAAAUAGUUCUGGCAAAUUGCUUAAGACUGCAGGCUGUGCAGGCCCUGGAAAAGCAGUUAUAGUUGUUGUUCAUGAUUCUAAUAAACUGAUGAUUGGAAAGCUAAAUGCUCCAUUUAUGAUGCCCUCUGUUUUAUUUCCUAUUUAGUGAAGAAUAGAGCUCUUAUUAUAAGAUAUGGUGCUCCAGAAAUCAGAGUAGCUCUAAAAUUACCUGAAUAUUCCUGAAUAUUGAGAGGUAUAGAAUCCUACUGCAUUUAUGACUUUACAGAUGAUAUGGAGGUAACUUCAUUUACACUAGCUAAAAACACUGGCCUGAAUCACAUUUCUUCAUUAGCAGAAAUAGGAAAUCAAUAUCUACAAGAAGUAAAUACUGUAGGCAUUACUGUCCAAAAGGGUGACAUUCUUAACAUUUUAGAAGAAAUUAUUGCCCAACCUCUGUUGGUUUCAAUUGGUGUUCUGACUUUAGCAACUGAAAGUCUCUGAGGCAUUCUAAAACUGGAUGAUAUGGCAAACA